AAAGUAACACCCUAGCACGCUUGAAUAUUGUUGAUUUCAUAUAGUUUGAGACAUAGAGGCUGGAGAAAAACUCUAGAACACCUUCAGUUUCCUUAGGAGAUUUGCACCCUUGUGGAAUUUAAAUUGUACCAAAGAGAUUACCUCCUUCAUCUCGGUUAACCAUCCUCAGUGAUCAGUGACCCAUGGGCAGAGGAAAGUGCAGCAGAAAUGAAGAGGCUAAGAAGGAAUAUAAAUAAGCUCGUGUACUUCAUAUAAACCCAUUAUUGAAUAAUCACUUGGCUGGAGCAACAGCUGUGUCAGGGCUCUGCCCAUGUCCUUAUAAUUAAUUUCUCGAUGUUUGUAUCAGCUGGCUUCUGGUGGCUUUUCCAUCCAAUAGCCAGCAUCUGCCUCUAUAUUUUAGAGAACUGCUGUCAGGCUGCCACAACCCUCUUGGUCUUCAGUCUAAGAACUGGAACCAACUUGCCUGUACACUCUUGCCUUACACCAAUGAAUGAAGUGGACAGGGGGAUAAAUAUUCCUCAAAUGAAGAAUGUUAAGAUAUGAUAUACAUUUUUCUCCAAAUUUCCUGUAUCAGAUUGAGCCAGACUUACUCUUGAUGGGACCUUCCUUGACUUCCUUGCUUUUCUCACUCCCUAAUCUCACUUUCCAUCUCCCUGACCAAUUUUAAGUCCCUGGCAGUUCUUCCUAAUGAAUAAACUUUACAUGAAUCAUUGUCUCUGGUCUAUUUCUAGGGAACAAAACUGAAGACAACUUGUGACAGUAGUAUGUGAUAUUGUUAGUUCCUGCUUUUCUUUUAAGCUCUAAAUACUAUAUUUGUAAUGAGUGAGAAAAGACAUUAAGUAUUUUGUGAGUUAUUUAAUAAUUCUGAAAUUCUCAAAAAAAGGUUUGCUGAUUUGUUUUCCUUUCAUUUUAAAAAUAUUCCUCGUUUUCAGCCUAACAUAUUCUUAAUGUCAUAUAUUUUGAAGAGGUUAUUUCAUCUCUCAGUCUGUUUGAUCAAAUAUGUUGAAAUGAGGUAAUAAUAUUUCUGUUGCCAAAUCAUUUUUAGAACUAGCAGAAAUUCCUGGGAGAUUCUUCAAAUUUAACAUGUGUUCAGUAAAUGCAGACUUUUCCUACCACUGUAAUUAAUAUUAUUACUUUUUCAUUAACAUUCUUGUUGAAACUACCUUUGCUCAUAGAGUACAUACAUUAAACACCUCUUCGAAAUGACCUACAACUCACCCUGCCAUAUUAUUUUCUUUAAAUGUAGCUAUUAGUGUCUCUAAACUUAAAUCAUCCCUUUUACCUUUUGGAGCAGAAAUCCACUCAGUCUUAUUUGUCCUUUGUCUUUUGAGUGACUGUCAAGUCCCUUUUGAAAGAUGUAAUUAAUGCAGUUCUGUCCAUAAGCAGAGUCAUUCAGUUGUAAGAACACUUGAUUUAUUGUCAGAAGGCCCAGUUUGAAAAUUUAGUUCUUCCACCUACUUUUCUCAGUAAUGCCUUGAUUUUCUCAUCUGGAAAGGAUGAAAAUACUCUCCCCAUCCUCUAGUUAUUUUAUGUGACUCAAAUCUAUGAAAAAAUGCUUUGAAGACUACAAAUUACAAUUCAGGAGAAGGUGCUAUUAUUAUUGUCUGUGCACACCUACUCUUCUUACAUAUUUUCCACUCACUGUUUUGCCACCUGGUGUGUGAUAAAAGUGAAACACUUAUUUCUUUAGGGAAAAAGAAAAGAGUGUGAGAGGGAGAUGGAGGGAGAGAGAUACUCUGUUUAUAUUAAUUAUUGAAGAAAGGUUUACUCUCACAUCUGCUCAAGGUAUUUCUUAAUCUUUAAAAUUAGAAGUUAAAAGAAUCUAUUUCAUUUAUCUUCAAUUAGCUAACAGAGAAAAGAAAAAUAAAGACUGGUGUGUUCAUCAGAUUUAUAAUAAGGG
RNAcentral lists this long non-coding RNA (1900 nucleotides) under Sus scrofa (pig). RNAcentral's name for it is "lncRNA (ENSSSCG00015043006.1)". The record is from RNAcentral. Lineage: Eukaryota; Metazoa; Chordata; Mammalia; Artiodactyla; Suidae.